This is a long non-coding RNA of Rosa rugosa (rugosa rose), 579 nucleotides long. RefSeq lists it as uncharacterized. The record is from RefSeq and is a predicted model, not a curated record. NCBI's taxonomy places the organism in Eukaryota, Viridiplantae, Streptophyta, Magnoliopsida, Rosales, Rosaceae. The transcript has 4 exons.
GAUCAGAGCCAGAAAGGAAGGAAGAGAGAGGGGGAGAGAGAGAAAGAGAAAGAAAGAAGGAAAGAAGGAAAGGGAGAGAGAUCCGUCCAAACCAUCGACAUUUUGGAGAAACCCCAAGUUCUGGUUGUUUUCUGGCUUGAUGGUAGUUGAAAGAAGUGUUAAGGAUGUUGAGAUGAAGCCGCUGUCAAAAUUUGGUGACCAUCGGAGGAGUUGGCCGACGAGUGAACAGUGCCGCGAGUGAAUAGUCGGGUGACGUAUCGAAUUAUUAUUUGGUGAAGGAACUCGUACGCGUGAACGACUAAAUAGUACUUUUGCAGGCGAAUUAGUUGAGGUCGGGCGUACACGAAAUUGAGGCAUAGUCAGCAGCAUGGCUUCCGCAUCUGCCUUUGAAUUAGGUUUUCCUCAUAUACCUUUCUGUUUGAAUUGCUCUGAUUACCUAUGGGAUUUAUGUUAUUCAAGUUGAGAUAUGUGUUUUGUGAAUUGGAGAUUGAUGUUGAUUUGGGGAGCAGGGUGGCUCCAGGAGCAUAAGGAUGAUUCGAUUGAGAAGUGUAAAUGUUCCCUACAGGUUUGGGUUGCCCA